This 467-nucleotide ribosomal RNA is filed under the name uncultured bacterium. RNAcentral's name for it is "partial 16S ribosomal RNA". It matches the Rfam family "Bacterial small subunit ribosomal RNA", at positions 29 to 507 of the family's 1533-position model. The record is from RNAcentral.
ACGAACGCUGGCGGCGUGCUUAACACAUGCAAGUCGAACGGAAAGGCCCUGCUUUUGUGGGGUGCUCGAGUGGCGAACGGGUGAGUAGCACGUGAGUAACCUGCCCUUGACUUUGGGAUAACUUCAGGAAACUGGGGCUAAUACCGGAUAGGAGCUCCUGCUGCAUGGUGGGGGUUGGAAAGUUUCGGCGGUUGGGGAUGGACUCGCGGCUUAUCAGCUUGUUGGUGGGGUAGUGGCUUACCAAGGCUUUGACGGGUAGCCGGCCUGAGAGGGUGACCGGCCACAUUGGGACUGAGAUACGGCCCAGACUCCUACGGGCGGCAGCAGUGGGGAAUAUUGCACAAUGGGCGGAAGCCUGAUGCAGCAACGCCGCGUGCGGGAUGACGGCCUUCGGGUUGUAAACCGCUUUCGCCUGUGACGAAGCGUGAGUGACGGUAAUGGGUAAAGAAGCACCGGCUAACUACGUG